GGGCUGAUCCACAUAUUUGAUUAUGUUCUCUUUUAUUUCUUUUUUUUUCUACUGCAACAAGAUGGUACUAGAUCUCGAAUAAUUGGUAUCAGAGCCAGAAGGUACCAGAGUAUGUAAUUGGCAUUAAAAAUAGGUGGUACCAGAGUACACGAUUGUCGAGGUUCAAUAGUAGUGAUCAAGAUUAAAAAAGAUAGAGAAGUUCGGUGUGAUCAAGAUCGAGAUCAACCAUAAGGAUU
This 236-nucleotide long non-coding RNA is filed under the name Elaeis guineensis (African oil palm). RNAcentral's name for it is "long non-coding RNA (EGUI_LNC079137)". The record is from RNAcentral. Lineage: Eukaryota; Viridiplantae; Streptophyta; Magnoliopsida; Arecales; Arecaceae.